CCUGGCUCAGGACGAACGCUGGCGGCGCGCCUAAUACAUGCAAGUCGAGCGAGAACCAGGACUUCGGUCCUGGGGAGAGCGGCGAACGGGUGCGUAUCACGUGAGCAACCUGCCUCGGAGACCGGAAUAACUCGAGGAAACUCGGGCUAAUGCCGGAUGCCCUCGGUGGACCGCAUGGUCCGGCGAGGAAAUGGAUUCCGCUCCGAGAUGGGCUCGCGGCCUAUCAGCUUGUUGGUGGGGUAACGGCCUACCAAGGCAACGACGGGUAGCUGGUCUGAGAGGACGAUCAGCCACACUGGGACUGAGACACGGCCCAGACUCCUACGGGAGGCAGCAGUAGGGAAUCUUGCGCAAUGGGGGAAACCCUGACGCAGCGACGCCGCGUGCGGGAUGAAGGCCUUCGGGUCGUAAACCGCUUUCAGCAGGGACGAAAUUGACGGUACCUGCAGAAGAAGGCCCGGCCAACUACGUGCCAGCAGCCGCGGUGAUACGUAGGGGUCUAGCGUUGUCCGGAAUUAUUGGGCGUAAAGAGCUCGUAGGCGGUUCGGCAAGUCGGAUGUGAAAUCUCCACGCUUAACGUGGAGGGGCCAUUCGAAACUGCCGUGACUCGAGUCCGGUAGGGGAGUUCGGAAUUCCCGGUGUAGCGGUGAAAUGCGCAGAUAUCGGGAGGAACACCAGUGGCGAAGGCGGAACUCUGGGCCGGAACUGACGCUGAGGAGCGAAAGCGUGGGGAGCGAACAGGAUUAGAUACCCUGGUAGUUCACGCCGUAAACGUUGGGCACUAGGUGUGGGGUUCUAUCGACGGAUUCCGUGCCGUAGCUAACGCAUUAAGUGCCCCGCCUGGGGAGUACGGCCGCAAGGCUAA
RNAcentral lists this ribosomal RNA (865 nucleotides) under uncultured bacterium. RNAcentral's name for it is "bacterial SSU rRNA". It matches the Rfam family "Bacterial small subunit ribosomal RNA", at positions 18 to 897 of the family's 1533-position model. The record is from RNAcentral.